CCUACGGGAGGCAGCAGUGAGGAAUAUUGGUCAAUGGACGCAAGUCUGAACCAGCCAUGCCGCGUGCAGGAAGACGGCUCUAUGAGUUGUAAACUUCUUUUGUACGAGGGUAAACUCAGAUACGCGUAUCUGUCUGAAAGUAUCGUACGAAUAAGGAUCGGCUAACUCCGUGCCAGCAGCCGCGGUAAUACGGAGGAUUCAAGCGUUAUCCGGAUUUAUUGGGUUUAACGGGUUCGUAGUCGGUCGGGUAAGUUAGUGGUGAAAUCCCGAGGCUCAACUUCGGAAUUGCCUUUGAUACUGGUCGGCGAGAGAGUAGUUGAGGUAGGCGGAAUGUAUGGUGGAGCGGUGAAAUGCUUAGAGAUCAGACAGAACACCGAUUGCGAAGGCAGCUUACCAAGCUACUUCUGACGUUGAUGCACGAAAGCGUGGGGAGCAAACAGGAUUAGAUACCCCUGUAGUC
Molecule: ribosomal RNA, 460 nt
Filed under: uncultured bacterium
Lineage: Bacteria
Description: partial 16S ribosomal RNA
Rfam family: Bacterial small subunit ribosomal RNA
Source: RNAcentral